This 497-nucleotide ribosomal RNA is filed under the name uncultured bacterium. RNAcentral's name for it is "partial 16S ribosomal RNA". It matches the Rfam family "Bacterial small subunit ribosomal RNA", at positions 28 to 507 of the family's 1533-position model. The record is from RNAcentral.
GAUGAACGCUGGCGGCGUGCCUAAUACAUGCAAGUCGAGCGAACAGACGAGGAGCUUGCUCCUCUGACGUUAGCGGCGGACGGGUGAGUAACACGUGGAUAACCUACCUAUAAGACUGGGAUAACUUCGGGAAACCGGAGCUAAUACCGUAUAAUAUAUUGAACCGCAUGGUUCAAUAGUGAAAGACGGUUUUGCUGUCACUUAUAGAUGGAUCCGCGCCGCAUUAGCUAGUUGGUAAGGUAACGGCUUACCAAGGCAACGAUGCGUAGCCGACCUGAGAGGGUGAUCGGCCACACUGGAACUGAGACACGGUCAAGACUCCUAAGGGAGGCAGCAGUAGGGAAUCUUCCGCAAUGGGCGAAAGCUUGACGGAGCAACGCCGCGUGAGUGAUGAAGGUCUUCGGAUCGUAAAACUCUGUUAUUAGGGAAGAACAAAUGUGUAAGUAACUAUGCACGUCUUGACGGUACCUAAUCAGAAAGCCACGGCUAACUACGUG